ACUACGGGUGGCUGCAGUGAGGAAUAUUGGUCAAUGGGCGCGAGCCUGAACCAGCAAAGUAGCGUGAAGGAUGACUGCCCUACGGGUUGUAAACUUCUUUUAUAAAGGAAUAAAGUGAGGCACGUGUGCCUUUUUGUAUGUACUUUAUGAAUAAGGAUCGGCUAACUCCGUGCCAGCAGCCGCGGUAAGACGGAGGAUCCGAGCGUUAUCCGGAUUUAUUGGGGUUAAAGGGAGCGUAGAUGGGUUGUUAAGUCAGUUGUGAAAGUUUGCGGCGCAACCGUAAAAUUGCAAUUGAUACUGGCAGCCUUGAGUACAGUUGAGGGAGGCGGAAUUCGUGGUGUAGCGGUGAAAUGCUUAGAUAUCACGAAGAACUCCGAUUGCGAAGGCAGCCUACUAAACUGCCACUGACAUUGAUGCUCGAAAGUGUGGGUAUCAAACAGGAUUAGAUACCCCUGUAGUC
This 460-nucleotide ribosomal RNA is filed under the name uncultured bacterium. RNAcentral's name for it is "partial 16S ribosomal RNA". It matches the Rfam family "Bacterial small subunit ribosomal RNA", at positions 338 to 795 of the family's 1533-position model. The record is from RNAcentral.